CGGGGACUGGCGCAAUUGGUAGCGCGCACGAUUCGGGUUCGUGAGGUUGGCGGUUCAAGUCCGCCGUCCCCGA
This 73-nucleotide transfer RNA is filed under the name Candidatus Shapirobacteria bacterium CG09_land_8_20_14_0_10_49_15. Its description in RNAcentral is "tRNA-Pro". It matches the Rfam family "tRNA". Rfam says of the family: Transfer RNA (tRNA) molecules are approximately 80 nucleotides in length. Their secondary structure includes four short double-helical elements and three loops (D, anti-codon, and T loops). Further hydrogen bonds mediate the characteristic L-shaped molecular structure. tRNAs have two regions of fundamental functional importance: the anti-codon, which is responsible for specific mRNA codon recognition, and the 3' end, to which the tRNAs corresponding amino acid is attached (by aminoacyl-tRNA synthetases). tRNAs cope with the degeneracy of the genetic code in two manners: having more than one tRNA (with a specific anti-codon) for a particular amino acid; and 'wobble' base-pairing, i.e. permitting non-standard base-pairing at the 3rd anti-codon position. The record is from RNAcentral. Lineage: Bacteria; Candidatus Shapironibacteriota. RNAcentral also lists the same sequence under 1 other name.